Panicum virgatum (switchgrass) is the source of this 2924-nucleotide long non-coding RNA. RefSeq lists it as uncharacterized. The transcript has 2 exons. The record is from RefSeq and is a predicted model, not a curated record. Lineage: Eukaryota; Viridiplantae; Streptophyta; Magnoliopsida; Poales; Poaceae.
ACAAGUAGAUGGAUGAUAAUACUAAUUCGGAAGGUGUCCGGUCAAGUAAUGAAGCUAAAAGAUCGAAGCAAACCUCCAGAGAAGAUGAACACACAAGCACCUGUGAUGGCGGCUCUUCAAGAGCGGCAGUGCCAAUGAAUUUGGAAGGAUGUUCAGUAUGUGCCCCCCAUCAACAACUGCUGUUAUUUUUGUUUUUGUUUUUUCAUGCCGCUACAUAUGGCCUUAGGAGACCUUAGCAAUAAAUUUAUAACAAGGUUUAUAUCAGAGACCUUAGCAGUAAAGUUUUUUUAUGUGUUAGUUAAUUUUUUAUAUGGAUAUGUUCUGUAUCUGGCGGCCAUCUUUUUUUUUGGUUGAUAACUUUUGACCAAUUUUUUUCACCUUUUAUAUCAUCACAAAAAGCUUUUUCAUCUACCAAAAUUCCCCCUGUAAAAAGUUUUCAUGUAAAAGUUAUACGGUACUAUGUUAUCACUUCGACAAUGACAAAAUUUUUUGCUUCUGUUCACACAAACUUUUAUACCAUCGAUGUUCAACUUUUGUAUUUGGUAAUUUUUUCACCAAAAAGUUUCUCCACUAAACUUUUUCUCACACCUUCAACAUAAUUUAUUUCUUUGCAACAAAAUUUUGUCUCUCGUGUCAGUUAAUUUUUUUAUGGACAAGUUCUGUAUGCAAGGGCAGAAGUUUUCUUAGCAUUUUCAGCACCAUAGAAGUGUCUCAAAAGUUUUGCAGCUAUAAUUUUUUUCUAUGAACAAGUUCUUUCUGAUGAGUAUAGUUCAAUGGACAUUUUUCUUUCUACUCAUUUUUUUUAUGCACCAAAAUUUAAAUCUACUAGUAUCAUGACAAAGCAAUUGCAUAUUAUUCUGAGGCUCAUUCCAACAAAAACCAUAUUUAGGUUUUUUUUGCAUAUUACUUAAAUUUAUUUUUUUUCUCCUAUAUAAUUGAAUUCAUUUUUUUGUUUCUCAAAAUACAACCCAGCUCUGACAAUAUUACUUAAAUUUUAUUUUUUUCCCUAUAUAAUUGAAUUGAAUUCAUUUUUUCUCCUAUAUAAGUUUUUUUAUUCAAAAAAUUUAUGAUAAAUAUUUUUUCUCUUAAAUUUUUUCAUUCCAAAAUUUUAUGAAAAAUAUUUUAUUCUUUUCUCAGAAGCAUUUUUUCAGUAGUGACCAUGAUAAAUAUUUUUAUUAUCUUAAACUUUAUGCAAGUUUGAAAAUAUUUUUUUCCUAUUCUUUUUCUUCUGAGUUUUUGUUUGCGGAUAGAACUUAUUAUGAUAAAUAUUUUUACUAUGCAUAAUCUUUUCAUUUUGAAAUCUUUUUUCUGCCUCAUAAAGUUUUCUGAUACAUUUUUUUAUUCUCAGCUUAACAUAAAAUUCUUUUUGCCUAUAUUUAUCAUUUGCAGAAAUUUAGCUACAAUUCUCACUUGCGAAGAUGACUAGACUUGUUGGUAGACUGUCAAAAGUUCAGAAAGAGAUUGUUACAUCCUGUGGAUUUGAGUCAUUACUUGCUCUUAGCUGCUCAUCCAUCCCAAACAAUCUAGUAAUUUGGCUGGCAAAACAUUAUGAUUCCAGAUCCAAGUCUGUAAAGCUUCCAGGUGGCAUACUCGUUCCAACUGAUUAGGGUCUGUCACGUCAACCUGCCAUACUCGGCCCAACUGAUUAGGGCCAGUCACGUCAUCCUGCCAUACUCAGCCCAACUGAUUAGGGCCAAUCACAUCAUCCUACCAUACUCGGCCCAACCAGUUAGGGUUUUUAGGGUUCGACUUCAUUACCAUAUGUCUUGAUUUUUAGUAUAUUUGAAGGUUGACUUGCCAUAAUUGGCUCAACUGAUUAGGGUCAGUAACGUCCACCUACCAUACUCGGCCCAAUUGAUUAGGGUUAGUCAUGUCAUCCUGUCAUACUCGGCCCAACUGAUUAGGGCCAAUCACAUUAUCCUACUAUACUCAGCCCAACGAGUUAGGGUUGUCUGGGUUUUAGUGUUCGACUCAAUCAUCAUAUCCUGUCAUACUUGGGUUUUAGUAUUGACUUGCCAUACUUGUCCCAACUGAUUAGGGCCAAUCACGUUCUCCGGCCAUACACGGCGCAACUGAUUAGGGCCAAUCAUUAUCAACCAGCCAUACUCAUUCCAACUGAUUAGGGUCCGUCACGUCAACCUGCCCUACUCGGCCCAACUGAUUAGGGCCAGUCACAUCAACCUGCCAUACUCAGCCCAACUGAUUAGGGCCAAUCACGUCAUCCUACCAUACUCGGCCCAACUAGUUAGGGUUGUUUGGGUUUUUAGGGUUCGACUUCGUCACCAUAUGUCUUGAUUUUAGUAUAUAUAAAGGUUGACUUGCCAUAAUUGGCUCAACUGAUUAGGGUCAGUAACGUCCACCUACCAUACUCGGCCCAAUUGAUUAGGGUCAGUCACGUCAUCCUGUCAUACUCGGCCCAACUGAUUAGGGCCAAUCACAUUAUCAUACUAUACUCAGCCCAACGAGUUAGGGUUGUCUGGGUUUUAGUGUUCGACUCAGUCACCAUAUCCUGUCAUACUUGGGUUUUAGUGUUGACUUGCCAUACGUGUCCCAACUGAUUAGGGCCAAUCACGUUCUCCGGCCAUACAUGGCCUAACUGAUUAGGGCCAAUCAUUAUCAACCAGCCAUACUCGGUCCAACUGAUUAGGGUCCGUCACGUCAACCUGUCAUACUCGGCCCAACUGAUUAGGGCCAGUCACGUCAUCCUGCUAUGCUCGGCCCAACUGAUUAGGGCCAAUCACGUCAUCCUACCAUACUCGGCCCAACCAGUUAGGGUUGUCUGGGUUUUAAGGUUUGACUUCGUCACCAUAUGCUUUGUAGUUUUGUCAAGUGUUCAACUAGCUCGAGCUAUCAGGUGAUUUAUUGUAGUUUCGUUUAUGACUUUGUCUGCAUACAGCAAGGCUAGUUCAUGUGGGGGUUUUACA